RNAcentral lists this ribosomal RNA (853 nucleotides) under uncultured bacterium. RNAcentral describes it as "bacterial SSU rRNA". It matches the Rfam family "Bacterial small subunit ribosomal RNA", at positions 28 to 896 of the family's 1533-position model. The record is from RNAcentral.
GACGAACGCUGGCGGCGUGCUUAACACAUGCAAGUCGAGCGAUGAGAUCCCUUCGGGGAUGGAUUAGCGGCGAACGGGUGAGGAACACGUGAAGAAUCUGCCUUCAACUCUGGGAUAACACCGGGAAACCGGUGCUAAUACCGGAUAUGAGCCUUGAUCGCAUGAUCGGGGCUGGAAAGUUUUUCGGUUGAAGAUGACUUCGCGGCCUAUCAGCUUGUUGGUGAGGUAAUGGCUCACCAAGGCGACGACGGGUAGCCGGCCUGAGAGGGCGACCGGCCACACUGGGACUGAGACACGGCCCAGACUCCUACGGGAGGCAGCAGUGGGGAAUAUUGGGCAAUGGACGAAAGUCUGACCCAGCGACGCCGCGUGAGGGAUGAAGGCCUUCGGGUUGUAAACCUCUUUCAGCAGGGAAGAAGCGAAAGUGACGGUACCUGCAGAAGAAGCACCGGCUAACUAUGUGCCAGCAGCCGCGGUAAUACAUAGGGUGCAAGCGUUGUCCGGAAUUAUUGGGCGUAAAGAGCUCGUAGGUGGUUAGUUACGUCGGAUGUGAAAAUCUAGGGCUCAACCCUAGACCUGCAUCCGAUACGGGCUAGCUUGAGUUUGGUAGGGGAGACUGGAAUUCCUGGUGUAGCGGUGGAAUGCGCAGAUAUCAGGAGGAACACCAAUGGCGAAGGCAGGUCUCUGGGCCAAUACUGACACUGAGGAGCGAAAGUGUGGGGAGCGAACAGGAUUAGAUACCCUGGUAGUCCACACAGUAAACGAUGGGCACUAGUUGUGGGAACCUUCCACGGUUUCUGCGACGCAGCUAACGCAUUAAGUGCCCCGCCUGGGGAGUACGAUCGCAAGAUUA